This 274-nucleotide ribosomal RNA is filed under the name uncultured bacterium. RNAcentral's name for it is "partial 16S ribosomal RNA". It matches the Rfam family "Bacterial small subunit ribosomal RNA", at positions 523 to 796 of the family's 1533-position model. The record is from RNAcentral.
AUACGGAGGGUGCAAGCGUUACUCGGAAUCACUGGGCGUAAAGCGCGCGCAGGCGGCUAUUUAAGUUGGAUGUGAAAGCCUAUGGCUCAACGAUAGAACUGCAUCCAAAACUAUUUAGCUAGAGUGUGGGAGAGGAAGAUGGAAUUAGUUGUGUAGGGGUAAAAUCCGUAGAGAUAACUAGGAAUACCAAAAGCGAAGGCAAUCUUCUGGAACAUUACUGACGCUGAGGCGCGAAAGCGUGGGGAGCAAACAGGAUUAGAAACCCGAGUAGUCC